RNAcentral lists this non-coding RNA (24 nucleotides) under Arabidopsis thaliana (thale cress). Lineage: Eukaryota; Viridiplantae; Streptophyta; Magnoliopsida; Brassicales; Brassicaceae. The record is from RNAcentral.
UUAACCCAGGAGAUUACAUAUGGU